RNAcentral lists this unclassified non-coding RNA (231 nucleotides) under uncultured bacterium. Its description in RNAcentral is "contains 16S-23S intergenic spacer region". The record is from RNAcentral.
AGAUCGUCCUUUAGGUCGAGCAACCGUAGUACGGCAAGCUCGGCAAGCUCGCGAUGCGAUGACGGCGUGCGGUCGAGCCUUUCGUGAAACUCUCUGACGUUUGUUGGCGUCCAUGGCUGCAGGUCAGCGUCUUGUUCUGCUUUUCGUCUAGCUAGCAUUUCCAAGUACGAGUAGGACUGGCUUUGGCGACUCGCGAGGGCCAUUUGCUCCAACGCUAGGAAAGCUUCUUUG